UCAGGAUGAACGCUAGCUACAGGCUUAACACAUGCAAGUCGAGGGGCAGCAUGGAGUUGCUGCAAACUCUGAUGGCGACCGGCGCACGGGUGAGUAACGCGUAUCCAACCUUCCCUAUAGUAGAGGAUAGCCCGGCGAAAGUCGGAUUAAUACUCUAUGUUUUCCGUUGCAGACAUCUAAGAUGGAACAAAGGCUUGCCGCUAUAGGAUGGGGAUGCGUCUGAUUAGGUAGUCGGCGGGGCAACGGCCCACCGAGCCAUCGAUCAGUAGGGGUUCUGAGAGGAAGGUCCCCCACAUUGGAACUGAGACACGGUCCAAACUCCUACGGGAGGCAGCAGUGAAGAAUAUUGGUCAAUGGACGAGAGUCUGAACCAGCCAAGUAGCGUGCAGGACGACGGCCCUAUGGGUUGUAAACUGCUUUUAUGCGGGGAUAAAGUUCACUACGUGUAGUGUUUUGUAGGUACCGCAUGAAUAAGGACCGGCUAAUUCCGUGCCAGCAGCCGC
This 503-nucleotide ribosomal RNA is filed under the name uncultured bacterium. Its description in RNAcentral is "bacterial SSU rRNA". It matches the Rfam family "Bacterial small subunit ribosomal RNA", at positions 24 to 518 of the family's 1533-position model. The record is from RNAcentral.